CGUGGUAAGUCAGAUGUGAAAUCCCGGGGCUCAACCCCGGAACUGCAUCCGAUACUGCCAUGCUAGAGGAUUGGAGAGGUAGCUGGAAUUCUUGGUGUAGCAGUGAAAUGCGUAGAGAUCAAGAGGAACACUCGUGGCGAAAGCGAGCUACUGGACAAUUCCUGACGCUGAGGCUCGAAGGCUAGGGUAGCGAAAGGGAUUAGAUACCCCUGUAGUCCUAGCAGUAAACGGUGCACGCUUGGUGUGAGGGGAAUCGACCCCCCUUGUGCCGGAGCUAACGCGUUAAGCGUGCCGCCUGGGAAGUACGGUCGCAAGACUAAAACUCAAAGAAAUUGACGGGGACCCGCACAAGCGGUGGAGUAUGUGGCUUAAUUCGAUGCAACGCGAAGAACCUUACCAAGGCUUGACAUGCAUCUCUAAACACGUGAAAGCGUGUGACCCUUCGGGGAAUUUGCACAGGUGCUGCAUGGCCGUCGUCAGCUCGUGUCGUGAGAUGUUGGGUUAAGUCCCGCAACGAGCGCAACCCUUGUGAUUAGUUGCCAGCACGUCAAGGUGGGAACUCUAGUCAGACUGCCCAGAUCAACUGGGAGGAAGGUGGGGACGACGUCAGGUCAGUAUGGCCCUUACGCCUUGGGCUGCACACGUACUACAAUGCCCAGCACAAUGAGAACCGAUACCGCGAGGUGGAGGAAAUCUGUAAAACUGGGCUCAGUUCGGAUUGGAGGCUGCAACUCGCCUCCAUGAAGUUGGAAUCG
Molecule: ribosomal RNA, 755 nt
Filed under: uncultured bacterium
Lineage: Bacteria
Description: bacterial SSU rRNA
Rfam family: Bacterial small subunit ribosomal RNA
Source: RNAcentral